UUCCCGGAAACAUUGCUUCCUCCACUUUUUAAUGCCAAAAUCUUUCCGGAAACAUUGCUUCCUUCAUUUUCUCAUGCCAGAAUGGCCAAGAGAUUUCAAAUCUGGUCACAGAACUUUCAUCUCUUGGCCACUUUGAGUAUCCCUCGGAAAUUUUUUUAGUGUUUCCGCCAAAUAUCUGCGCGGCGCUAGUGUUUGUGGAAAAAAGUGCAAAAAUGGUGGGACGCUGCAAUCGCUGUGAUGGAAAUUCUCAAUUUUUGGUGGAAAAAAGCAUUGUUAUGUUUUUUUUUCUUCCCGGACGUCCCGGACGUCCCGGACUGUAAAACAACACCAAAGUACUCCGGAAAAUACUAAAUAUCAUAUUACAAGCGUAAUGCCGUACAUGAAUCUCAAUCCGGCAGACAGGCGGCGGCAUUAGCUGCGCGCAAUCACCAUCGACUUCUUCCGUACAAAGUGAUGAAGACAAAUCCUGAAUAUGCCGCCCUCCAGUUACUGUUGAGGUGAAGAAGGAAGAUGUUGAAGUUGCUGCGAUGCAGCAACCGGAAGCAGCUGUUCAGGAGAAUGGUGUACAAAAGCAGGAGGGUUAAAAGCAAAAUCCGGAACAACAGAAGCAGCAAGGUGAGGUAAUAAAGAGCGUAAUAAAGUGAAGGAAGCUGCCCAGGAGGUUGUUGAAAGGCUCUCUCUCUGUACCUGAGAUGCAGAGAGAAAAAGCCAAACUGGCUGUUAUGUCAGUUUUGAAGGAACAGAGAAGGAGCGAACAGUUGUCUUCCAUCGUGUUAUCACGAUGGAAGAUCACGAUUGAGAAGAACCUCCAGGAAUUGGGUGAGCAGCAAACAAUUCUGGACAAUUUCUUCUCUAAGGAUGGUUGUUGAUUACGUCAGGACUAUUCUCUACACCAUCGUGUGAGGAGUGUCACCUUUUAACGUUUCCUGGCGGAACAGUGCUUCGACAUGUUGCAGGACAUCUGGGGGAAGGACAAACUCUAUGGUAUCAAAGUGGCCGUUGCGGGGCUACAGGAACUCAAGGAGGAUGACAAGAAGGACCUAAUGGAUCUCCUUGAUUGUCAUUUUGAUCCGGAGAAGCAGAUAAUUAAGCCAGUGUCCCGGAAGACUAACAAGUGGCGCUUUCAGAAGAGACAAACUUCGAGAAUUUCAUCAAGGGAAAUAUUCAAAUAGGAAAUAAUCAACAGAGAAGCAAUCAGCAGAAUCACAAUGGUGAAAACCAUCAGGAUAACAACAAGAACUAUCAGCAUGGCAACAAUCAUUUGUGUGGUCGCACCAGGGGUAAAUUAAUUAAUUAUUUGUAGAAAAAAAAAAGAUCUCUGGGUAUUUUAAAAGAAACAGAAAAGAAUCUUUUAAGUAUAUUUAAUUUAUUAAUUUGUUAAAAAAGGAUCUUUUUCUUCUUUUAAGAAUUCU
Lutzomyia longipalpis is the source of this 1412-nucleotide long non-coding RNA. RefSeq lists it as uncharacterized. The record is from RefSeq and is a predicted model, not a curated record. Lineage: Eukaryota; Metazoa; Arthropoda; Insecta; Diptera; Psychodidae. The transcript is spliced from 3 exons.